AGAGUUUGAUCCUGGCUCAGGAUGAACGCUGGCGGUAUGCUUAACACAUGCAAGUCGAACGAAAGUCUUCGGAUUUUAGUGGCGGACGGGUGAGUAACGCGUGAGGAUCUGCCUAUAGGUUGGGGACAACAGAUGGAAACGUCUGCUAAUACCCAAUGUGCCGAGAGGUGAAAGCUUUAGUGCCUGUAGAUGAGCUCGCGUCCGAUUAGCUAGUUGGUAGGGUAAAGGCUUACCAAGGCGACGAUCGGUAGCUGGUCUGAGAGGAUGAUCAGCCACACUGGGACUGAGACACGGCCCAGACUCCUACGGGAGGCAGCAGUGGGGAAUUUUCCGCAAUGGGCGAAAGCCUGACGGAGCAAUACCGCGUGCGGGACGAAGGCUUUUGGGUCGUAAACCGCUUUUGUUAGGGAAGAACACAAUGACGGUACCUAACGAAUCAGCAUCGGCUAACUCCGUGCCAGCAGCCGCGGUAAUACGGAGGAUGCAAGCGUUAUCCGGAAUUAUUGGGCGUAAAGCGUCCGCAGGUGGUUUAUCAAGUCUGCUGUUAAAUCGUAGGGCUUAACCCUAUAAAGGCAGUGGAAACUGAGAGACUAGAGUACGGUAGGGGUAGCGGGAAUUCCCAGUGUAGCGGUGAAAUGCGUAGAUAUUGGGAAGAACACCAGCGGCGAAGGCGCGCUACUGGGCCGAAACUGACACUCAUGGACGAAAGCUAGGGGAGCGAAAGGGAUUAGAUACCCCUGUAGUCCUAGCUGUAAACGAUGACAACUAGGUGUUGCGCGUAUCGACCCGUGCAGUGCCGUAGCUAACGCGUUAAGUUUCCGCCUGGA
This 827-nucleotide ribosomal RNA is filed under the name uncultured bacterium. RNAcentral describes it as "bacterial SSU rRNA". It matches the Rfam family "Bacterial small subunit ribosomal RNA", at positions 9 to 873 of the family's 1533-position model. The record is from RNAcentral.